GCGUCGGUAUCCAAGUGGUUAAAGGAUGGCGGCUGUAAACCGCCCCGCUACAUGCGUUCGAAGGUUCGAAUCCUUCCCGGCGCA
Molecule: transfer RNA, 84 nt
Filed under: Patescibacteria group bacterium
Lineage: Bacteria
Description: tRNA-Tyr
Rfam family: tRNA
About the family: Transfer RNA (tRNA) molecules are approximately 80 nucleotides in length. Their secondary structure includes four short double-helical elements and three loops (D, anti-codon, and T loops). Further hydrogen bonds mediate the characteristic L-shaped molecular structure. tRNAs have two regions of fundamental functional importance: the anti-codon, which is responsible for specific mRNA codon recognition, and the 3' end, to which the tRNAs corresponding amino acid is attached (by aminoacyl-tRNA synthetases). tRNAs cope with the degeneracy of the genetic code in two manners: having more than one tRNA (with a specific anti-codon) for a particular amino acid; and 'wobble' base-pairing, i.e. permitting non-standard base-pairing at the 3rd anti-codon position.
Source: RNAcentral